Long non-coding RNA from Xyrauchen texanus (razorback sucker), 585 nucleotides. RefSeq lists it as uncharacterized. The record is from RefSeq and is a predicted model, not a curated record. NCBI's taxonomy places the organism in Eukaryota, Metazoa, Chordata, Actinopteri, Cypriniformes, Catostomidae. The transcript is spliced from 2 exons.
UCUUUCUGACUUCUCAGGGAGUGGCGCAGGAUGAAGAAUGGAAGCUCAUGGCCUAGAACAGACAAAAUGAAGACAGGAAAUUGGUGUUUUAGUAUUUCAUUCUCAAAGAAUCAUGUAGGAGGCAAAAAUAAAACAGUAUUAAAAUACAUUACUUUCAAUUAGUUACAUACACUCACCAAUCACUUUAUUAGCUACACCUGUACACUACCUGUGUGUGUGUGUGUGUGUGUGUGUGUGUGUGUGUGUGUGUGUGUGUGUGAGCGUGUAUUUAUCACUUUGUGGGGACCAAAUGUCCCCAUAAGGAUAGUAAAACCCGAAAUUUUUGACCUUGUGGGGACAUUUUGUCGGUCCCCAUGAGGAAAACAGCUUAUAAAUCAUACUAAAUUAUGUUUUUUGAACAUGUAAAAAUGCAGAAAGUUUUCUGUGAGGGUUAGGUUUAGGGGUAGGGUUAGGUUUAGGGGAUAGAAUAUAAAGUUUGUACAGUAUAAAAACCAUUAUGUCUAUGGAAAGUCCCCAUAAAACAUGGAAACACAACAUGUGUGUGUGUGUGUGUGUGUGUGUGUGUGUGUGUGUGUGUGUGUGUGU